CGGGAAAAGCUCAAAUUUAAAAUCUGGCAGUCUUUGGCUGUCCGAGUUGUAAUUUAGAGAAGUGUUACCCGUGCUGGACUAUGUAAAAGUCUUCUGGAAUGAAGCAUCAUGGAGGGUGAGAAUCCCGUC
This 129-nucleotide ribosomal RNA is filed under the name Henningsomyces candidus. RNAcentral describes it as "partial large subunit ribosomal RNA". It matches the Rfam family "Eukaryotic large subunit ribosomal RNA", at positions 99 to 225 of the family's 3401-position model. The record is from RNAcentral. Lineage: Eukaryota; Fungi; Basidiomycota; Agaricomycetes; Agaricales; Schizophyllaceae.